CAAUGCCGUCUGCUCUGCGCAUUAAUAGUAAUACAGAUAACGGGUUUGAAAGAAUUCUCUACUGAAGAAGGAUUGAAUGUUUUCCAGGGUGCCGAUACUGAGAAGAAACCCGGCGUUACUCUCUCCCUAUUUCUCCACUCUUAGAUUUAAAGUCUCAGACAGCUUUUGCUUGGUUUAAACUCAGGAAGGUCUCCCUGCUCAGCAAAGUUGGAGGGCUGCGCCUGCACCACCAAGCUGCUAGAUUUCUGAGAACAGUCUUAUCAAAGGAUAACACAAAUCUGUAUCACUGGCUGGGUGUAAUGCAAGGAAGGGACAAAGAUGAAAUGGAAACAUCUUCCUUUUUUGGUCAUAAUAUCACUCCUCAGCGUGUCAAAACAUCAUCUGUUUCUGGCUCAGCUUAUUCCAGAUUGCUAUGCCUGUUAUCUGAAGAUGAACACAAACACCAGAUGAUAAGGACUUUACA
Molecule: long non-coding RNA, 463 nt
Filed under: Ictidomys tridecemlineatus (thirteen-lined ground squirrel)
Lineage: Eukaryota; Metazoa; Chordata; Mammalia; Rodentia; Sciuridae
Description: lncRNA (ENSSTOG00000031882.1)
Source: RNAcentral